CUAAGGCUUGGAUAUAAGUGUGUC
Molecule: non-coding RNA, 24 nt
Filed under: Arabidopsis thaliana (thale cress)
Lineage: Eukaryota; Viridiplantae; Streptophyta; Magnoliopsida; Brassicales; Brassicaceae
Source: RNAcentral